AGUAGGGGAUAACACUUGGAAACAGGUGCUAAUACCGUAUAACAACCAAAACCACCUGGUUUCGGUUUAAAAGACGGCUUCGGCUGUCACUUUAGGAUGGACCCGCGGCGUAUUAGCUUGUUGGUAAGGUAACGGCCUACCAAGGCGAUGAUACGUAGCCGACCUGAGAGGGUAAUCGGCCACAUUGGGACUGAGACACUGCCCAAACUCCUACGGGAGGCAGCAGUAGGGAAUCUUCCACAAUGGACGAAAGUCUGAUGGAGCAACGCCGCGUGAGUGAUGAAGGGUUUCGGCUCGUAAAACUCUGUUGUUGGAGAAGAACAGGUGUCAGAGUAACUGUUGACAUCUUGACGGUAUCCAACCAGAAAGCCACGGCUAACUACGUGCCAGCAGCCGCGGUAAUACGUAGGUGGCAAGCGUUGUCCGGAUUUAUUGGGCGUAAAGCGAGCGCAGGCGGUUUUUUAGGUCUGAUGUGAAAGCCUUCGGCUUAACCGGAGAAGUGCAUCGGAAACCGGGAGACUUGAGUGCAGAAGAGGACAGUGGAACUCCAUGUGUAGCGGUGAAAUGCGUAGAUAUAUGG
Molecule: ribosomal RNA, 580 nt
Filed under: uncultured bacterium
Lineage: Bacteria
Description: bacterial SSU rRNA
Rfam family: Bacterial small subunit ribosomal RNA
Source: RNAcentral